Molecule: transfer RNA, 71 nt
Filed under: Candidatus Zhuqueibacterota bacterium
Lineage: Bacteria; Pseudomonadati
Description: candidate division KSB1 bacterium tRNA-Cys
Rfam family: tRNA
About the family: Transfer RNA (tRNA) molecules are approximately 80 nucleotides in length.
Source: RNAcentral
GGCGGCAUAGCCAAGUGGUAAGGCCACGGUCUGCAAAACCGUGUUCACUGGUUCGAUUCCAGUUGCCGCCU